Varroa destructor (honeybee mite) is the source of this 922-nucleotide long non-coding RNA. The record is from RefSeq and is a predicted model, not a curated record. NCBI's taxonomy places the organism in Eukaryota, Metazoa, Arthropoda, Arachnida, Mesostigmata, Varroidae.
CGCGCGUAAAAGAUGUUCUGACGUAUAAACUUCGCCGGUAGGGAAACCAGUCGUGCGCUUUACUCAAACAGCACACUGAUUCACUGAUGAAACCUAUCGGCGGCUCCAGAAGCGCGCUAAAUGAAAAUGGCGGAUUUAUGCAGGCACAAUAGGUGAAACGGAAACGGUAAAGGAACGUCUACAGUGCUCAUGCCAGUUGCUAGAAUGAUGUGAGUAGGUACCAAAUCUCGAUACCAUGACGCCGAAAACCAAAUUAGCGUUCGACAACCAAUUCGAGAAUGCAAGAGGUCUGCUUCUAAGAUACCCAGAUCGCCUGAUUUGGAUGAAUUUAGAAACUGCGAGACAAACGCUAGAACAAUUUGAUAAACAAUCAAAAAAGACCGCGAAUGGUGUGUCAAAAAGAAAUGGGUUAAAAGCGAUAAAAUCAAAAAGCCAAAGUGGCAAGACUAUUUCAGUGGUGGACGUAAACCAAGCUGCGAUGAAGAAUCGACAAAAAUACGCGGGCGAUUCACAAACUGAACGAAUGAGAGUGAUCUUAGAACCCACACAACGUAUAAACGCAUUGAGUAACUCAAGCAUGUGGCCGACAUAUACAAACAAAAACGCUCGGCGGGCUUGAAGACACAGAAGUCAGAAGAGCGGGUUGUACAAACAUGUGCCAGUUCCGUGAUAACUUAGCAGACAGACUUUACUACGCGCCUUCUUAGCCGCAGCUAUAUCCACAAGAUGUCAGAAAUAAUCAGCAUGCUCGGUAAAUUAAGAGCUUGAAAAUGGUAUAUGAAGAACCCUGGAGAUAACCUGGCAGGCUGUCUUCGAAUCCCCUGGAAGUUAAAAAAGAAAUUCUAGCGCAUCCGGCCACAGUCGUUGGGGGAAGCGCUUGUUAAACGCCCACACUCCAUUGGGCCUGUCACGACGAAUCUGC